GAGUUUGAUCCUGGCUCAGGACGAACGCUGGCGGCGCGCCUAACACAUGCAAGUCGAACGGAGUCAAGAGGAGCUUGCUUUUCUUGACUUAGUGGCGAACGGGUGAGUAACGCGUGGGUAACCUGCCUUGUACAGGGGGAUAACAGUUGGAAACGGCUGCUAAUACCGCAUAAGCGCACAGCAUCGCAUGAUGCAGUGUGAAAAACUCCGGUGGUAUAAGAUGGACCCGCGUUGGAUUAGCUAGUUGGUGAGGUAACGGCCCACCAAGGCGACGAUCCAUAGCCGACCUGAGAGGGUGACCGGCCACAUUGGGACUGAGACACGGCCCAAACUCCUACGGGAGGCAGCAGUGGGGAAUAUUGCACAAUGGGGGAAACCCUGAUGCAGCGACGCCGCGUGAAGGAAGAAGUAUCUCGGUAUGUAAACUUCUAUCAGCAGGGAAGAUAAUGACGGUACCUGACUAAGAAGCCCCGGCUAACUACGUGCCAGCAGCCGCGGUAAUUC
RNAcentral lists this ribosomal RNA (504 nucleotides) under uncultured bacterium. RNAcentral describes it as "bacterial SSU rRNA". It matches the Rfam family "Bacterial small subunit ribosomal RNA", at positions 9 to 526 of the family's 1533-position model. The record is from RNAcentral.